Molecule: microRNA precursor, 102 nt
Filed under: Canis lupus familiaris (dog)
Lineage: Eukaryota; Metazoa; Chordata; Mammalia; Carnivora; Canidae
Also listed under: 1 other name
Description: mir-8834 microRNA precursor family
Rfam family: mir-8834 microRNA precursor family
Source: Rfam by way of RNAcentral
AGGAGCAACAGCCCUAGUGGCGGGGCCAGCUCUGGAGCCCUGGAUUCAGCUCCGGCAGGAACUCCGGAGGUCGUCUGCAGGGCCUGGAGGCUCUGGGGCGGG